GAACAAUCCUAGUAAGCUCUCACAAUUCACUAGUGACACCUAGCAGUAUGUAGUGGCAACUCAAUAGAACUAAAAUGAACCUCUAGGUGUAGUUAACAUAUGAUUCAGUCUCUUUCUCGUGAGUCCCGACUAGAUGGUAGGUUAUAGAUAAAUUAUCAAAUCUCAAUAUCAGUCAUAUAAUAUAUUCUAUUAGCUCAAAUCCAGUUGUGACUACUAUAAAAACUUUUUUCCAUCAAGCACACUACUGUGGCCAUAGAUUCUCAGACUUAACC
RNAcentral lists this long non-coding RNA (272 nucleotides) under Elaeis guineensis (African oil palm). RNAcentral's name for it is "long non-coding RNA (EGUI_LNC057472)". Lineage: Eukaryota; Viridiplantae; Streptophyta; Magnoliopsida; Arecales; Arecaceae. The record is from RNAcentral.